Hevea brasiliensis (rubber tree) is the source of this 574-nucleotide long non-coding RNA. RefSeq lists it as uncharacterized. The record is from RefSeq and is a predicted model, not a curated record. Lineage: Eukaryota; Viridiplantae; Streptophyta; Magnoliopsida; Malpighiales; Euphorbiaceae. The transcript is spliced from 2 exons.
UAAGACCCACAUAACACAUAAUCACCCAUUCGGCUCUCUCCAUCAACGCCAUACUCACAAAGCACUUCCUCACAAACCCACUUGAGAUCAAGGAAAAUAAGGUGCUUUCCCUACACAAAUAUAGCACCAUUAUCGAUUUUCAUCAGUAAAGGGAGGACGCUGGUGUGGUUUUGGCAGCUGGUUAGAAGAGGCAAUGCAAGCACCGAACAAAAUCCGACAAGGAAUCGCCAAGGGGUAGAAAUUGGUGUAAGCAUGUUCAAGCCUGCUAGCUAUAGUAUUAAGCCAUUUGGAGAAAUCUAGAGAUGCUCUUCCAUCAUAUUUGUUUUUUAUUUGCUUCUUCCAAUCCUUGUCUCAAAACUCCUAAAAAAUUCAGAAUCCUCUGUCAUGGGGUGUUGGUCUGUGACUGGGUAAGGGAGUGCCCUUUGUGCAUGAAUUUUCAUUUUCAAAAAAAAAUGAUAGAAAUGAGAAUAAAGCUAUUGAAUACUUGGACUUUGCUACUGUUGGUACAAAUUUUAGUCUAUGAAUGUGAGUUGUUCAUGAAGAUCCAAGAGAAUUUUGAGAUGAUUUAAAUUAA